AGGAUCAUUCGCGUGACAAACCGAUAUGUGAUCCUGUGAACGUCCUUGCGUUGAGCCUCGGCAGGUGGAUGCUGCGUCCAUGUUGUGACUCCGCUUGGGCACUUCGUUCUCAGCUGGCGUCAAACAGAGACGCGCGGAAUUCAACAAACUCGUAACUUCCAGCAGUGGAUCUCUAGGCUCAAGUGCUGAGGAAGGGUGCAGCAAAGUGUGAUAAGCAUUGUGAUGUGCGAGAUCCUGUGAACCAUUAGACUCCCGAGCGCACUCUGUACUUCUAGGAGCUCCUGGAAGUAAUCCAGCUUCAGGGUCAUGUAGCUUCCCCCUUCUAGGGCGCAUUGCUCUGAGCAGGGUGUGAUGCCCUGGUCAAGAUGGGAGACUGCGUGAUGGUGAGGGGUGAUCAGUAUGCAAAAUCUUUUGUUCUGAGCUCUCUCCUCAUCGCUGCGCUUCUUGCAGGGAUGUCCCAAAAUGAAAGUCAUGGUGCUUGGCAAGUAAACCCGCUGA
This 498-nucleotide ribosomal RNA is filed under the name Amphidinium carterae. RNAcentral's name for it is "eukaryotic LSU rRNA". The stretch from base 154 to 307 matches the Rfam family "5.8S ribosomal RNA". Lineage: Eukaryota; Dinophyceae; Amphidiniales; Amphidiniaceae. The record is from RNAcentral.